GUCGAGCGGACAGAUGGGAGCUUGCUCCCUGAUGUUAGCGGCGGACGGGUGAGUAACACGUGGGUAACCUGCCUGUAAGACUGGGAUAACUCCGGGAAACCGGGGCUAAUACCGGAUGCUUGAUUGAACCGCAUGGUUCAAUUAUAAAAGGUGGCUUUUAGCUACCACUUACAGAUGGACCCGCGGCGCAUUAGCUAGUUGGUGAGGUAACGGCUCACCAAGGCGACGAUGCGUAGCCGACCUGAGAGGGUGAUCGGCCACACUGGGACUGAGACACGGCCCAGACUCCUACGGGAGGCAGCAGUAGGGAAUCUUCCGCAAUGGACGAAAGUCUGACGGAGCAACGCCGCGUGAGUGAUGAAGGUUUUCGGAUCGUAAAACUCUGUUGUUAGGGAAGAACAAGUACCGUUCGAAUAGGGCGGUACCUUGACGGUACCUAACCAGAAAGCCACGGCUAACUACGUGCCAGCAGCCGCGGUAAUACGUAGGUGGCAAGCGUUGUCCGGAAUUAUUGGGCGUAAAGCGCGCGCAGGCGGUUUCUUAAGUCUGAUGUGAAAGCCCCCGGCUCAACCGGGGAGGGUCAUUGGAAACUGGGGAACUUGAGUGCAGAAGAGGAGAGUGGAAUUCCACGUGUAGCGGUGAAAUGCGUAGAGAUGUGGAGGAACACCAGUGGCGAAGGCGACUCUCUGGUCUGUAACUGACGCUGAGGCGCGAAAGCGUGGGGAGCGAACAGGAUUAGAUACCCUGGUAGUCCACGCCGUAAACGAUGAGUGCUAAGUGUUAGAGGGUUUCCGCCCUUUAGUGCUGCAGCAAACGCAU
This 819-nucleotide ribosomal RNA is filed under the name Bacillus licheniformis. Its description in RNAcentral is "bacterial SSU rRNA". It matches the Rfam family "Bacterial small subunit ribosomal RNA", at positions 61 to 860 of the family's 1533-position model. The record is from RNAcentral. Lineage: Bacteria; Bacillati; Bacillota; Bacilli; Caryophanales; Bacillaceae.